AAAUACUAAAAUAUAGGUUUAACUCCUAUUCUUAGCA
RNAcentral lists this transfer RNA (37 nucleotides) under Gaussaster antarcticus. RNAcentral's name for it is "partial tRNA-Phe". Lineage: Eukaryota; Metazoa; Echinodermata; Asteroidea; Notomyotida; Benthopectinidae. The record is from RNAcentral.